AAGUUGUGUUGGAGUGUGGGUUGUCGAUAUUUCGUGUCUUGAACCAUACACAAUGGAUAGUUCUACACCAUCCAAUGGUCACUCAGCAGCAAAAUCCAAUUUAAGAGUGAAUCUAUCCACUUCAGCUGAGGAUAAUACAGAUGCAAGUUGUCGGGGACAAUUAAUUUCACAAAACUCUGAUCUUGUGAAAGAAUCUAAGUCAUUCAGAAGACUUUCUUUGUCACAG
Molecule: unclassified non-coding RNA, 226 nt
Filed under: Hevea brasiliensis (rubber tree)
Lineage: Eukaryota; Viridiplantae; Streptophyta; Magnoliopsida; Malpighiales; Euphorbiaceae
Source: RNAcentral